CCUACGGGAGGCAGCAGUGGGGAAUAUUGCACAAUGGGGGAAACCCUGAUGCAGCGACGCCGCGUGAGUGAAGAAGUAUUUCGGUAUGUAAAGCUCUAUCAGCAGGGAAGAAAAUGACGGUACCUGACUAAGAAGCCCCGGCUAACUACGUGCCAGCAGCCGCGGUAAUACGUAGGGGGCAAGCGUUAUCCGGAAUUACUGGGUGUAAAGGGAGCGUAGACGGUUAAGUAAGUCUGGAGUGAAAGGCCGGGGCCCAACCCCGGGACUGCUCUGGAAACUAUUGAACUUGAGUGCAGGAGAGGUAA
This 305-nucleotide ribosomal RNA is filed under the name uncultured bacterium. Its description in RNAcentral is "bacterial SSU rRNA". It matches the Rfam family "Bacterial small subunit ribosomal RNA", at positions 338 to 660 of the family's 1533-position model. The record is from RNAcentral.